Long non-coding RNA from Leucoraja erinaceus (little skate), 2822 nucleotides. RefSeq lists it as uncharacterized. The record is from RefSeq and is a predicted model, not a curated record. The transcript is spliced from 2 exons. NCBI's taxonomy places the organism in Eukaryota, Metazoa, Chordata, Chondrichthyes, Rajiformes, Rajidae.
AUGUGGUGGAGGAACCAGAGUAUGGCGAGGAAGACCUUUUCCAUCAACAGGGUGACCCAAGGACCACAUCUCGUCAAUGUGCAGUGAUGUGAUCAUCAUAAAUGUACCUUUUUCUUCCCGGAGGAUGGAUUAUUUUACCCUGAUUUACUUUCUCCAGAGCCACUGAGAAAUAUUUUUGUACGCAAUAUUUUCUUUAAACAUUUGAGAUCAUGCAGUUUUAGUAUUUUAAUCCAUUGUUUUAUUUUGUAAACCUGAGUUCUGAAGGGGGUUUUAAAGGUCACUUAACACUGCAAAGUGGUGGUCAAGAGACAUUAUCAAUUUUAUGUGGACAGGGAGGGAGGGAGACUAUAAACAAUUUAUCCAAAUGGCCUCGGUCUAUAUUAGUUGUGUAUAGAUUGAGAAUUGGGUUCAGAAUAUCUAGGGCUUAGCCGUAGCACUGCAUCAGAAUUUGGUUAUUCUGCAGUUUUUCAAACCCAAAGGGUUGUUGUAAAAACUCCACCAAAUUGGUGUUAACCUCGUACCCAAACAAAAUUAUUGUUAGUGGUACGAAACUCCUUCAUAACUGCAGAUGGAGUACUCUGAACUCCAAUGCAGAAGUCUCAGGUGUUUUGAAGAAAUGGGCUAUAAAGAUUUUUUCUUUGAUUCUGCCCUAAAAUACUGUGUUUGGCUAUUCUGUACAAAACUGCUGCAUGCGAUUGUAAAAUUUGUGUAAUGGAAAGGAGACUAACCUUUUUGGGCGUUGCAUUUAUUGAACAGGCAAUGGGAGACACAUUAAUUUUAAUUGGGUGAAUUACACAAUCGUGCGUUUAUUGAAUGAAAUUGUAAAUAUUGCAUGAAAAACAGCAGAAUAUACCAAGCUUUUUUUUAAACAAAAAAUUCAUUCAUCAUGUAAUAUUUUUUGCUUUUUUAAACUGUACUUGGUGUCAAAAUCCCAUUAUUUAAGUUAGUAUUUGGAUUCCCACUUUGCUAAUGCUAUUGAGUGUAUUUACUGGGUGGUAUAUCAAUAUUUUGGAUGGUGGCUUAUGGAAGGUUGAUUUUUCUUUGUCGCUGAUGGCUGUUUAGGACAGAACUGAGUGAUUUGUAGUAGCUUGCUUGUUUUAGAGGCUUGUUUAGAUUGACCUUUAGGUAAAAGUAAGUGGGCUUGGGAACAUGUUUUGCAGCACUGGAACAAAUUAAAAUUGAACUUGAGGACAGUUUACCCAGCAGUUGCAGUAGCUGCCUUAAUUUGCUCUAAUUUCAGCUUUAAUCAUCUGACAUAAUUAGUCAAUGUAAAAUACUAUCAGAAUGGGAUUUUCAUAACAUGACACAUUUCCCCUGUUCCUUCAUAACUGAGGUUUUCAAAAAGAAAUUACGUGAGAAUCUCCAGCAAUAAAACUACGCUAAAGAGAUCUGCAUCCAACUCUUCAAUAUUCACCCUUGUAUCACUGUGUUAAAUAUGUGUUUUUUAGAGUGGGGAGCAGUUAAAAUAAUAAUCAUGUUGCUUAUAUUGCCCUUUUGAUUUUAUGUAUCAUAUAUAUGGUUAAAUAACAAAUGUUAUGCUUCUGUUUAUCAACUUUUAAAAUUGUUUCUCAGAUUUUUAAGUAAAUUGAACACCUAAUAAUAAGGAAUAUUGAGAUUUGAAUAAUGGAGUUCCUUUUGAAUCCAUACGUUUUAUUUGGUUAAGCUUCCUAAAUUUGUCAUUAAUUAGAAUUAUGUAAUGUGAAAUUGUCCUCCAAUAAAAGGGAGCAGAAUAUAGCCUGGGAAACAAUGUUUAAAAAGAUACUUUUGCUUUUAUAUUAAACUUAUUUGAACCAUAGCGGAUGGUCCUAAAAAUCAUGUGCACAUUAACUGUUUCUUAAAUGAUCAAUUUACUGGUAAAAUCAUGAUAUACAUUGCUGUGAUUAUUUUCCUUUAAUCUUUUUAAAAGGUUGCGUUACAAGGUUUCUGGUGUUUCCCUUGUAAAAUCAAACACUUUCCACUGAUUAAAAAUAAAUCCACAAAACAAAUGUGAAUUCUCAGUUUGUUUUAAUUUUGGGGUUUUCGUUAAAGCAAACUAAAUCAUUGCUCUCUUCCACUGGUGUAUGCAUGUCCACAUCCUACCUCUCAUUUGGUGCCCCCUAUAAAACUAAAAUUCCUAGUAGCUUUUAACAUCAGUCUAAUAUCAAUGACUUGGGUAUGAAAGCUGCAGAAGAGCAAGGAAAUUAAGAUUCUAAAGGAACUGAUUUGCCACCAUUGAAAAUGUAAAGCCUAAACUUACUACUAGUCCUUGUUUGGAGAGGAUGUUGAAUGACAUAAUUCAACUGUAUAAUUAAUUUUAAUUUUUGAGCAAUGAAAUAAAAUAAUGUGAACAAAGCCAUUUCUGCCUGUAAUUAUCACAUGAUCAGAUUGUAUGUAGCUGGUGAUAUAGUAAUUUGUGGAGGUGAUUAGUUUCAUUUAUGCAUUUAUGAUACUACUACUUUGGCUUCACCAUUUGCAUCGGGACCUGACGCUGUUUCUGGAAAGAGGCAUGAAAGUAUGAACUAAUUUCAAUGACCUAUGGCUCCAUAGAAAGUAUGUACUGAACAUAAUCUAUAGAAUUAUAAUCUUUGUUUUAAAGAUCUGAACAAACUUCAUCUUGCCCAUGUAGUACAAAUAUUUUGAUUGUCCAUAAAAAUACAUUUACAUUUGAUAUCUAUUGAGUUGGCGAAUGUAAACAUUCUUGGAUACGCUAAGAAGCUAGACACUAUCACCGAGGUGUUUUGCUGUAUGGAGAUGAUGCCAAAAAACAAAAGUUCUGUAACUUGUAAACAUUUUAUAACUGGAAAUUUUAUGAACAUUCAAUAAAUAUGGUUUUACAUAUUAAA